RNAcentral lists this long non-coding RNA (5600 nucleotides) under Sus scrofa (pig). Its description in RNAcentral is "lncRNA (ENSSSCG00015035390.1)". Lineage: Eukaryota; Metazoa; Chordata; Mammalia; Artiodactyla; Suidae. The record is from RNAcentral.
GUUUUUAGGGCAGUACCCAUGGCAUAUGGCAAUUCCAGCCUAGGGGUCAAAUUGGAGCUAUAGCUCCCGGAGUACAGCACAGCCACAACACCAGAUCCAAGUCGAGCCUGCGACCUACACCACGGCUAAAUGCAAUGCUGGAUCCCCAUCCUAUUGAGCAAGGCCAGGUAUCAAACUCUCAUCCUUGUGGAUACUAGUCGGAUUCACUUCCUCUGUGCUACACUCCUAAACUACAGAUUUACGAAGCUUCAAAAUCAUCAAACAAGAUAAACAACAAAAACUCAACAAAACAAAACAAAAAGAAUACCUAGGCAUAUCAUAUGCAAACCGCUGAAAGGUGAAGAGAAAAUCGUGAAGGCAGGCAAAGAUGGGGAAAUGCAUCACAUGCAGAGGAACAAGGAUAAGGAUUAUAACAAGCUUCCUAUUCGGAACUCUGCAAGCAAGAAGAUAGUGGGGUCUAGUGAGGGAGUCCUAUCAUGGCGCAACAGAAACAAAUCUGACUAGCAUCCAUGAGGACGACGAUUUGAUCCCUGGCCUUGGUCAGUGGGUUAAGGAUCCAGCGUUGCCAUGAGCUGUUGUGUAGGAAGCAGAUGUGGCUCGGAUCUGGCACUGCUGUGGCUGUGAUGUAGGCCAGCAGCUAUAGCUCCAGUUCGACCCCUAGCCUAGGAACCUCCAUAUGCCACAGGUCUGGCCCUAAAAAAUACAAAAAAAAAAAAAAAAAGGUCCAGUGAAAAUAUCCUUCAUAAGUGAAGAGGAAAUUUCCCAAUUUAAAUUGAUGCAAUCACUAUGGAAAACAUUAUGGAGGUUCCUAAAUAGAGUGGCCAUAUGAUCUAUAAUCCCACUCCUGAGCAUAUAUUGGGACAAAACUAUUAUUUGAAAAGUUACAUGAACCUCAGUGUUCACUGUAGCAGUGUUUACAAUAGCCAAGACAUUGAAGCAAUUAAAUGUUCAUCAACAGAGAAAUGCAUAACGAAGAUGGAUUACUACUCCAUUAAGAAUGAAAUAAUGCCGUUUUCAAUAACUUGGAGGGACCUAGAGAUUAUCAUAUUAAGUGAAGUAAAUCAGAAAGAGAAAGACAAACACUUCAUGACAUUACUUACAGGUGGAAUCUAAAGUAUGAUACAAAUGGGAGUUCUCUUCAUGGCUCAGUGGUUAACGAACCCGACUAGGAACCAUGAGGAUGCAGGUUCAAUCCCUUGCCUCACUCAGUGGGUUAAGGACCCAGCAUUGCUGUGAGCUGUGGUGUAGGAAGCAGACGUGGCUCAGAUACCAGAUUGCUGUGGCUGUGGUGUAGGCCAGCAGCUGUAGCUCCAAUUUGAUCCCUAGCCUGGGAACUUCCACAUGCUGUGGGUGUGGCCCUAAAAUAAAUAAAGAAAUAAUAAAAUACGAUACAAAUGAAUUUAUUUACAAAACAGAAACAGACUCACGAACAUAGAAAACAAACUUACAGUUACCAAAGGAGAAAGAGGGUGUGGGAGGGCUAAGUUAAGAGUUUGGGAUUGGCAGACACCAAUUACAACAUACAAAACAGGUAAAUAACAAGGUCCUACUCUAUAGCACAGGGAACUAUAUUCAAUAUCCUGUAAUAAACCACAAUGGAAAAGAAAAAAAAAAAGACUUUUCCAGACAAACAGAAAGAGAAUUCACUGCCAGCUGAUCCACCCUAUAAGAAUAUAUUGAAGAAUAUAAGAGAUAUUGAAGGAAGUUCUUCAAGGCAGAAAGAAAAUGAAAGAGGCUUGUUAUCUACAAAAAGAAAUGAUGAAUAAAUGAAGGUAAAACAGAGUGUUUUCCUUUUCAUAUUUUUAACUGCUCUAAAAGACUGUUUAAAGCAGUAACAAAGCAUUGGGUAUUUACAGCAUAUGUAGUGAAAUGUACCACAGUGACAGUAAAAGGAAAAAUUAGGAAUAUACUACAAUAAGAUACAUGUACUACAUGUGAAGUGGUAUAAUAUCAUUUGAAGGUAAAUUCCUAUUUUAAAAUGUAUACUGUAAACUCAAGGGCAACCACUAAAAACCACUUUAAAGAAAUAUGUCAAUAAGGUAGAUAAAAGAACAACAAUAAAAAGCUCAAUUCACAUCAGAGAAGUCAGAAGAAAAAAAAAUAAAUAUAACAAAUAGAAAACAGCUAGUCAGGGAGAAAAAAAGGGGAAAAGUUAGCAAGAUAGCAAAUUUUAAUCUAACUAUAUUAAUAAUUAAAUGCAGUCUAAAAGGGCCAGGUAAUAGACAAAUUGUCAAAUUAGAUGAAAAAGCAAGAUCAAGAUAAAUGCCAUCUCCAAGAAGCCCACUAAGUAUAAAGAUUUAGAUAAAAAGAGCUAAAAAAUAAAGAUACUAUAUAAAUACUAAUCAAAAGAAAGUCAGUAGAGCCAAAUUAAUUUCAGACACAGUAGACUUUAGAACAAGAAAGACUGUCAAGGAUAGAGAGACGCAUUACAUACUGAUAAAGGGGUCAAUUAUCCAAGAAGUCAUAACAAUCCUAAUGUGUAUGCACCUAAAAUCAGAGCUUUAAAAUACAUGUGGGAAAAAGUGAUAGAUUUGACAGGAGAAAGAGACAAAUCUACAAUUAUAGCUGGAAAAGCUCAACACUCAUCUCUCAGUAAUUGAUGAAAAUCACGAAGGAGACCUCAACAGUACUAAUCACCAAACUUAAACUAAGUGACAUUUAAAGCAUUCUCCACCCAAAAUCCACUGAAUGUACAUACUUUUCAAGUAUACAUGGAAGAUUCACAAACACAUACCAUACAUAUUCUGGGUCAUAAAACAAACCUCUAAAAUAAAAAAUACAAAGCACAUUCUCCAACCAUAAAAGAGAAAAAAUUAAAUGCAAAAAAUUGGGGGGAAAAUUCUCCCAAAUAUUUGGAUAUUAAACAAUAUACUUCUAAAUAAUAUAGGUAAAAGACAGAGUCUAGAGAAAAGUGUAAAUGGCAAUGUUGUUUCCACCUACAUUUUUUAUAGCUUUUAGAGAUUCUUCAUAGAUACCCUGUAUUAGAUAUAGGAAUAAACAUGCAGAAUGUGGACUACUCAUCACCUGGCACCCACACAGAGUUUAUAUUAGGUAUAUCUAUACAGAAAGAAAAAUAACUAAAAUGUUGGAAACCUACAACUCUUAUAAUGCAGAUGUAAGAAAUUCAGAAAAUAACCAACAUUAGGAGUUUUUUAAAUUUCAUUUUCAGGAACACACAAACUAAAUCCAGGGUUUGCAAUGGUAAUUUUUAUCUUGUCUUCCCUGCUUCUCCCUUAUUCUCUCACCAUUCAUGAAGGUUAUCCACAAGAAAGGUCCUGGAUGAUUCUGCCUUGGCUGUUAUUACUGCUCAUCUCUUAAUACUAUUCAUCUUUUGAUCUCAUCCCAAAAUCUGGUCUAAGGAGGCAGCUGACAGAAAACUGAAAACUUUAUGUUUGCUUUCUGACUUAACUCAUGAACUAGGAAGAAUAAAAGCCCUUAACUUUCUUUUUUUCUGGUUUUUAGGGCCGCACUCACAGCAUAUAGAGGUUCCCAAGCUAGGAGUCAAAUCAGAGCUGUGGCCUAGGCCACAGCCACAGCAACGUCAUAUCCAAGCCUCGUCUGCAACCUAUGCCACAGCUCAUGGCAACACUGGAUCCUUAACCCACUGAGCAGGGCCAGCGAUUGAACCUGUGUCCUCAUGGAUGCUUGUCAGAUUCAUUUCCACUGAGCCAUGACAGGAACUCCCCUUAACUUUCAAAAGAACUUUCUUCUUUGAUACUAUUACUUAAAAAUUAGAUGCCUGUGUUGUUUUGACAACAAAUACUGUUCCCUCCUGAAGUGAAAAAUGAAAGGAAAAGAAUGUAUAUGAAGCUAGUUACACCCAGCCUAUAUAGAGGGUAGUCUAUUUUAAAAGCAAAGCUAGAUUAUGAAUCCCAGUCCAUUAAGAAUGUUCUCGAACUCUUUUCAUAAGAAUGAGGCCUUAGGAGUUCCCAUUAUGGCUCAGCAGGUUAAGAACCCAGCUAGUAUCCAUGAUGAUGAGGGUUCAAUCCCUGGCUUCAAUCCCUACUCCCUGGCAGUGUAGCUUGCAGAUGUUGCUCAGAUCUGACAUUGCUGUGGCUACGGAUGUGGCACUGGCCUGCAGCUGCAGCUCCAUCUGACUCAACCCCUAUCCUGGGAACUUCCAUAUGCCACAAGCGUGUCAGUAAAAAGAAAAAUAAAUAAAUAAAUAAGGGCUUAAGUCCAACUUUAUACAUACAAAAAAGGCAAAUGAAUGAGUAAGCAUGAAAAUCAGAGGAACCACUUUAAUAGCAGAAAGAAAAAGGAAGGUGACAGCCUGAGGAAAAGUACAGAUAUUUCCAUGUCUACAGACAUAUCCUCCAACUCCCCAAAAGAAUACUCUUUAUUCCUAUGAGUAAUUAGUUAUACAAGUUGAAGGUGUGGAAAAGAAAAACCUUCAGCUUCUCUCAGAAGCCUAUAGUCUCUAAGUAUCUUCUGACAUAAAAUAAAUUUAUAAAGUAUAAAUUAGGAGUUUCCAUCGUGGCACAGCAGAAACGAAUCCGACUAGGAACCAUGAGGUUGUGGGUUCGAUCCCUGGCCUCACUCAGUGGUUAAGGAUCCAGCAUUGCCAUGAGCUGUGGUGUAGGGCUCAGACGCAGCUCGGAUCUGGUGUUGCUGUGGCUCUGGCGUAGGCCAGCAACUGUAGCUCCAAUUAGACCCUAACCUGGGAACCUCCAUAAAGUACAAAUUAGCUAUCUAUUAUCAAAAGCACAUAGUUAAUAACCACUAAAGGGAAAGAGGUAUACUGUUGCCACAAAAGAUGAAAGAGGUAACAUUUGAAAAUUCAGUCAACCCUCAAUGAUUCAGGCUGAAGCAUUUCUGACGACAGUUCUAACAACUUCAGAAGGAAUCACAGAAAUAAACCCAAAGAACUUAAAAGUGUAUGAUGAUAAGAGUCCUGAAAUAUCAAGGAAAAUACACAGAAAAAUCUACCUAAUUUCACUCUCAACAGGAAAACAUCAAGUGACAUGAAAGAAAGGGGGUCAGGGAAGGGUCAGUAUUUCCUAAAUACUUUGGGUAAGGACAGCUAAAAGGGAAAAAAUUAAGUUUCUCUUCCGAGUGUUCAUUCCAAACUAAGAAUCAAUUCUACAAGGUUUCUCCUUGUGGCAAUCCUCAUUUUCCCCAAACAUAUGCAAAAGAAAUGUAGGUAUCAUGCAUUCUAGGUUAUUUUAUUGUCUUUUUUUUUUUCCAUCACUUACAGCAAUGAAUGCUUUGAACAAUGUCUGCUGUAUCAUACUUAGUUUUACAAGGGAUUAUCCCUUCAGAGAAUCCAGCAUAGAAAAGUCUAUCAAAAUGAAAUUCCUGGUAACUCUGCAGAGCAGAGGAAUAAAGAGCAGAAUAAGUAAACCAACUGAAGACAAUCCCUAUUAAAAUUAUUGAAUAUCGGAGUUCCCGUCGUGGCGCAGUGGUUAACGAAUCCGACUAGGAACCAUGAGGUUGCGGGUUCGGUCCCUGCCCUUGCUCAGUGGGUUAACGAUCCGGCGUUGCCGUGAGCUGUGGUGCAGGCUGCAGACGUGGCUCGGAUCCCGCGUUGCUGUGGCUCUGGUGUAGGCCGGUGGCUACAGCUCUGAUUCGACCCCUAGCCUGGGAACCUCCAUAUGCCG